Vicia villosa (hairy vetch) is the source of this 599-nucleotide long non-coding RNA. RefSeq lists it as uncharacterized. The transcript has 3 exons. The record is from RefSeq and is a predicted model, not a curated record. NCBI's taxonomy places the organism in Eukaryota, Viridiplantae, Streptophyta, Magnoliopsida, Fabales, Fabaceae.
UUCUUUUACUGAUAUACUGAUUUCAGUCUCAACUACAGCUGUUGCACGAAGGAGGAAGAUUAAAGAAGCUUCUGCCCCAAAAGAGUCUGAGACAUCUAAAAGCGACAAACCAAACGAAAGUGAUUCGAUCGUCACGGAUAAGAAGCCCACGAGCUCGAAACCCCCAACGGGUUCGAAGCGUAAAGCUUCUUCGACCAAUGCCUCAGAUGGUGAAGACAAAUCUCCUCCUCAAACUAGACAAGGACAGAAAAAGAAACACAAAGCUGUUACCCCUUCAAGAAAAGGGAAAAAGGCAAGUCCUUCAAAAGCUGCUUCUCCUGGCAAUAAGGCGUCUUCUGAAGAGUCUCCUUUGAAGACUGCCAGCAAUGCUCUUGUUUUGGAAAGUCAUAACUCAAGCCCAGACAAUAAUCCACCCAAGGAUGAUGCUGGCACUGCUACUUCUGGUUUCAAAGACCCUGGCCUCACCAUUGAUGUUGAUAAACUUUAUGGUAAUUGUUAAAUUUCAACUUUCGUCAAUUAAAACUUUCGAAGGCUUAACCUCACGAUUAACUUGGCUUCGUUCGAAACAGAUACUUCUCAAGCUAGAACCCAUGUUCUCU